GUGCUCGCUUCAGCAGCACGUAUACUAAAAUUGGAAUGAUACAGAGAAGGUUAGCAUGGCCCCUGCAUAAGGAUGACAUGCAAAUUCGUGGAACAUUCCACAAUUAA
RNAcentral lists this small nuclear RNA (107 nucleotides) under Phocoena sinus (vaquita). Lineage: Eukaryota; Metazoa; Chordata; Mammalia; Artiodactyla; Phocoenidae. The record is from RNAcentral.